RNAcentral lists this ribosomal RNA (496 nucleotides) under uncultured bacterium. RNAcentral describes it as "partial 16S ribosomal RNA". It matches the Rfam family "Bacterial small subunit ribosomal RNA", at positions 28 to 507 of the family's 1533-position model. The record is from RNAcentral.
GAUGAACGCUGGCGGCGUGCCUAAUACAUGCAAGUCGAGCGAACAGACGAGGAGCUUGCUCCUCUGACGUUAGCGGCGGACGGGUGAGUAACACGUGGAUAACCUACCUAUAAGACUGGGAUAACUUCGGGAAACCGGAGCUAAUACCGGAUAAUAUAUUGAACCGCAUGGUUCAAUAGUGAAAGACGGUUUUGCUGUCACUUAUAGAUGGAUCCGCGCCGCAUUAGCUAGUUGGUAAGGUAACGGCUUACCAAGGCAACGAUGCGUAGCCGACCUGAGAGGGUGAUCGGCCACACUGGAACUGAGACACGGUCCAGACUCCUACGGGAGGCAGCAGUAGGGAAUCUUCCGAAAUGGGCGAAAGCCUGACGGAGCAACGCCGCGUGAGUGAUGAAGGUUUUCGGAUCGUAAACCUCUGUUAUAGGGAAGAACAAAUGUGUAAGUAACUAUGCACGUCUUGACGGUACCUAAUCAGAAAGCCACGGCUAACUACGUG